CUAUCUUUGAUAGAGUGGCGCACGGGUGAGUAACACGUGGGAAUCUGCCCUUUUGUUCGGGACAACAGUUGGAAACGACUGCUAAUACCGGAUACGCCCUUCGGGGGAAAGGUCCGCCGCAGAAGGAGGAGCCCGCGUCCGAUUAGCUUGUUGGUAGGGUAAUGGCCUACCAAGGCGACGAUCGGUAGCUGGUCUGAGAGGAUGAUCAGCCACACUGGGACUGAGACACGGCCCAGACUCCUACGGGAGGCAGCAGUGGGGAAUAUUGGACAAUGGGGGCAACCCUGAUCCAGCAAUGCCGCGUGUGUGAUGAAGGCCUUAGGGUUGUAAAGCACUUUCACUGGUGAAGAUGAUGACGGUAACCAGAGAAGAAGCCCCGGCUAACUUCGUGCCAGCAGCCGCGGUAAUACGAAGGGGGCGAGCGUUGUUCGGAAUUACUGGGCGUAAAGGGAGCGCAGGCGGUUCAUUUAGUUAGGCGUGAAAGCCCCAGGCUCAACCUG
This 500-nucleotide ribosomal RNA is filed under the name uncultured Alphaproteobacteria bacterium. RNAcentral describes it as "bacterial SSU rRNA". It matches the Rfam family "Bacterial small subunit ribosomal RNA", at positions 81 to 616 of the family's 1533-position model. The record is from RNAcentral. Lineage: Bacteria; Pseudomonadati; Pseudomonadota; Alphaproteobacteria.